GACGAACGCUGGCGGCGUGCUUAACACAUGCAAGUCGAACGGAAAGGCCCUGCUUUUUUGGGGUGCUCGCGUGGCGAACGGGUGAGUAACACGUGAGUCACCUGCCCUUGACUUUGGGAUAACUUCAGGCAACUGCUGCUAAUACCGGAUAGGAGCUCCUGCUGCAUGGUGGGGGUUGGACCGUUUGGGUGGUUGUGGAUGGACGCGCGGGUUACUAGCUUGUUGGGUGGGGAGUCGCUUACGGAGCGAUCGGAUGGUGGCCGGCCUGGGAGGGGGGACGGCGACAUGGGGACUGAGGUAGGCCGCAGAGGGCAAUAGGAGGCAGCAGGGGGGAAUAUGGCACAGUGGGGCGAAGCCUGAGGCAGCAACGCCGCGUGCGGAAUGACGGCCAUCGGGUUGUAAACCGCAUUAGCCUGUGACGAAGCGUGAUUGACGGUAAUGGGUAAAGAAGCACCGGCUAACUACGUG
Molecule: ribosomal RNA, 468 nt
Filed under: uncultured bacterium
Lineage: Bacteria
Description: partial 16S ribosomal RNA
Rfam family: Bacterial small subunit ribosomal RNA
Source: RNAcentral